GACGAACGCUGGCGGCGUGCUUAACACAUGCAAGUCGAACGGAAAGGCCCUGCUUUUGUGGGGUGCUCGAGUGGCGAACGGGUGAGUAACACGUGAGUAACCUGCCCUUGACUUUGGGAUAACUUCAGGAAACUGGGGCUAAUACCGGAUAGGAGCUCCUGCUGCAUGGUGGGGGUUGGAAAGUUUCGGCGGUUGGGGAUAGACUCGCGGCUUAUCAGCUUGUUGGUGGGGUAGUGGCUUACCAAGGCUUUGACGGGUAGCCGGCCUGAGAGGGUGACCGGCCACAUUGGGACUGAGAUACGGCCCAGACUCCUACGGGAGGCAGCAGUGGGGAAUAUUGCACAAUGGGCGGAAGCCUGAUGCAGCAACGCCGCGUGCGGGAUGACGGCCUUCGGGUUGUAAACCGCUUUCGCCCGUGACGAAGCGUGAGUGACGGUAAUGGGUAAAGAAGCACCGGCUAACUACGUGCCAGCAGCCGCGGUGAUACGUAGGGUGCGAGCGUUGUCCGGAUUUAUUGGGCGUAAAGGGCUCGUAGGUGGUUGAUCGCGUCGGAAGUGUAAUCUUGGGGCUUAACCCUGAGCGUGCUUUCGAUACGGGUUGACUUGAGGAAGGUAGGGGAGAAUGGAAUUCCUGGCGGAGCGGUGGAAUGCGCAGAUAUCAGGAGGAACACCAGUGGCGAAGGCGGUUCUCUGGGCCUUUCCUGACGCUGAGGAGCGAAAGCGUGGGGAGCGAACAGGCUUAGAUACCCUGGUAGUCCACGCUGUAAACGGUGGGUACUAGGUGUGGGGUCCAUUCCACGGGUUCCGUGCCGUAGCUAACGCUUUAAGUACCCCGCCUGGGGAGUACGGCCGCAAGGCUAAAACUCAAAGGAAUUGACGGGGCCCCGCACAAGCGGCGGAGCAUGCGGAUUAAUUCGAUGCAACGCGUAGAACCUUACCUGGGUUUGACAUGGAUCGGGAGCGCUCAGAGAUGGGUGUGCCUCUUUUGGGGUCGGUUCACAGGUGGUGCAUGGCUGUCGUCAGCUCGUGUCGUGAGAUGUUGGGUUAAGUCCCGCAACGAGCGCAACCCUUGUUCACUGUUGCCAGCACGUUAUGGUGGGGACUCAGUGGAGACCGCCGGGGUCAACUCGGAGGAAGGUGGGGAUGACGUCAAGUCAUCAUGCCCCUUAUGUCCAGGGCUUCACGCAUGCUACAAUGGCUGGUACAGAGAGUGGCGAGCCUGUGAGGGUGAGCGAAUCUCGGAAAGCCGGUCUCAGUUCGGAUUGGGGUCUGCAACUCGACCUCAUGAAGUCGGAGUCGCUAGUAAUCGCAGAUCAGCAACGCUGCGGUGAAUACGUUCCCGGGGCU
RNAcentral lists this ribosomal RNA (1346 nucleotides) under uncultured bacterium. RNAcentral describes it as "bacterial SSU rRNA". It matches the Rfam family "Bacterial small subunit ribosomal RNA", at positions 28 to 1381 of the family's 1533-position model. The record is from RNAcentral.